GGGGGUAGCUUGCUACCUGCCGGCGAGUGGCGAACGGGUGAGUAAUACAUCGGAACGUGCCCUGUAGUGGGGGAUAACUAGUCGAAAGACUGGCUAAUACCGCAUACGACCUGAGGGUGAAAGUGGGGGACCGCAAGGCCUCAUGCUAUAGGAGCGGCCGAUGUCUGAUUAGCUAGUUGGUGGGGUAAAGGCCCACCAAGGCGACGAUCAGUAGCUGGUCUGAGAGGACGAUCAGCCACACUGGGACUGAGACACGGCCCAGACUCCUACGGGAGGCAGCAGUGGG
This 286-nucleotide ribosomal RNA is filed under the name uncultured Ralstonia sp. RNAcentral describes it as "partial 16S ribosomal RNA". It matches the Rfam family "Bacterial small subunit ribosomal RNA", at positions 71 to 358 of the family's 1533-position model. The record is from RNAcentral. Lineage: Bacteria; Pseudomonadati; Pseudomonadota; Betaproteobacteria; Burkholderiales; Burkholderiaceae.